RNAcentral lists this ribosomal RNA (253 nucleotides) under uncultured bacterium. RNAcentral's name for it is "partial 16S ribosomal RNA". It matches the Rfam family "Bacterial small subunit ribosomal RNA", at positions 524 to 776 of the family's 1533-position model. The record is from RNAcentral.
UACGUAGGGUGCGAGCGUUGUCCGGAAUUAUUGGGCGUAAAGAGCUUGUAGGCGGUUUGUCGCGUCUGCCGUGAAAAUUCGAGGCUCAACCUCGAACUUGCGGUGGGUACGGGCAGACUAGAGUGCGGUAGGGGAGACUGGAAUUCCUGGUGUAGCGGUGAAAUGCGCAGAUAUCAGGAGGAACACCGAUGGCGAAGGCAGGUCUCUGGGCCACUACUGACGCUGAGAAGCGAAAGCAUGGGGAGCGAACAGG